AAAAAGGGCUUGUGCUAUGUAUGGCACAUCACUGUUCCCUGCAUAGGGGAUGGUGGUGCGGAAUCGACAUCAAGAGAUUUCGAAAGCAUAAUUUUUGUGACCAGGACUGCCUGUGAUCGUUGCUCUGGGCGUCCUC
Bufo bufo (common toad) is the source of this 136-nucleotide small nuclear RNA. RefSeq annotates it as U11 spliceosomal RNA. The record is from RefSeq and is a predicted model, not a curated record. Lineage: Eukaryota; Metazoa; Chordata; Amphibia; Anura; Bufonidae. The transcript has a single exon.